UCCAAUAUAGUCUGUUUUCUUG
RNAcentral lists this non-coding RNA (22 nucleotides) under Arabidopsis thaliana (thale cress). Lineage: Eukaryota; Viridiplantae; Streptophyta; Magnoliopsida; Brassicales; Brassicaceae. The record is from RNAcentral.